CCUACGGGGGGCUGCAGUGGGGAAUAUUGGACAAUGGGGGGAACCCUGAUCCAGCCAUGCCGCGUGUGUGAAGAAGGCCCUCGGGUUGUAAAGCACUUUCAGUGAGGAAGAACGCCUGGUGGUUAAUACCCAUCAGGAAAGACAUCACUCACAGAAGAAGCACCGGCUAACUCCGUGCCAGCAGCCGCGGUAAUACGGAGGGUGCGAGCGUUAAUCGGAAUUACUGGGCGUAAAGCGCGCGUGGGUGGCUUGAUAAGCCGGUUGUGAAAGCCCCGGGCUCAACCUGGGAACGGCAUCCGGAACUGUCAAGCUAGAGUGCAGGAGAGGAAGGUAGAAUUCCCGGUGUAGCGGUGAAAUGCGUAGAGAUCGGGAGGAAUACCAGUGGCGAAGGCGGCCUUCUGGACUGACACUGACACUGAGGUGCGAAAGCGUGGGUAGCAAACAGGAUUAGAUACCCCUGUAGUC
This 465-nucleotide ribosomal RNA is filed under the name Vreelandella stevensii. Its description in RNAcentral is "partial 16S ribosomal RNA". It matches the Rfam family "Bacterial small subunit ribosomal RNA", at positions 338 to 795 of the family's 1533-position model. Lineage: Bacteria; Pseudomonadati; Pseudomonadota; Gammaproteobacteria; Oceanospirillales; Halomonadaceae. The record is from RNAcentral.